GACGAACGCUGGCGGCGUGCUUAACACAUGCAAGUCGAACGGUAAGGCCCCUUCGGGGGUACACGAGUGGCGAACGGGUGCGUAACACGUGGGUGAUCUGCCCUGCACUUCGGGAUAAGCCUGGGAAACUGGGUCUAAUACCGGAUAGGACCACGCUCUGCAUGGAGUGUGGUGGAAAGCUGUUGCGGUGUGGGAUGGGCCCGCGGCCUAUCAGCUUGUUGGUGGGGUGAUGGCCUACCAAGGCGACGACGGGUAGCCGGCCUGAGAGGGUGUCCGGCCACACUGGGACUGAGAUACGGCCCAGACUCCUACGGGAGGCAGCAGUGGGGAAUAUUGCACAAUGGGCGCAAGCCUGAUGCAGCGACGCCGCGUGGGGGAUGACGGCCUUCGGGUUGUAAACCUCUUUCAGUACCGACGAAGCGCAAGUGACGGUAGGUACAGAAGAAGCACCGGCCAACUACGUG
RNAcentral lists this ribosomal RNA (464 nucleotides) under uncultured bacterium. Its description in RNAcentral is "partial 16S ribosomal RNA". It matches the Rfam family "Bacterial small subunit ribosomal RNA", at positions 28 to 507 of the family's 1533-position model. The record is from RNAcentral.